UAAUAGCAAAGCAUAUUGCCGAAGACAGCAGGUGCCGUAAGGCAUAACCGUAGGACCUGCCGAGGGAAUUUACCGAAUGGUGAAUACGAAAUGAUUAUUUCAAGCCUCUUUGUCUCGGACAAAGGGGCUUUUAAAUUGGGCUG
This is a non-coding RNA of Roseburia sp. 499, 143 nucleotides long. The record is from Rfam. NCBI's taxonomy places the organism in Bacteria, Bacillati, Bacillota, Clostridia, Lachnospirales, Lachnospiraceae.